CCCUUUCGUUUUAUCAACCAAACAAAUCACCCAAUUCGUCUUAUGAGACGUGGCUAAAAGCCGGUAAAGUACGGGUACAAAACGUCGGCUGGUAGUCGUGGGAGAUACAUACAUUGUACUUUGGUCGUUUAACUUAUGUUAUUGUGUCAUUGGUAAUAUCGAUAAUGUUUUCUGAUUUGUGAUUUUCUUGCUCGUAAUUUUAAAAGAUGCCAAGGUACACCAAAUAACGGCCUUAUAGCUGUUAGACUUUUCAACAUGAAAAAGCUGGGCAGAGUCUUAGAAAACCUCUAUUUGGACAGCUGAUGUUCUAUGAUCAGACACAUGUUGAUCAAUUUGUUGCCAAUUAUACCACACCUACAUCAAACAAGGAGUGUCAUGGUUUUCUUGCUGGGAAUGCUGUUUGAUCAAUGAAUCGCUACAGAGAUCUUGAUGAAACAGCAAUCUUUGGGCGAGGCUGUCGACAUGAGUUUCCUAAAAAAUUCUUAAAUUUGAAACAUGGAGAGAGGUCUGCACAUUUUUUGCAAACACAGAAUACUUAAAAUCUCUACUACAUGCCAUUAAUUAACACUACAAAAGUUUUCUACUUCAUAGAA
Long non-coding RNA from Xenia sp. Carnegie-2017, 593 nucleotides. RefSeq lists it as uncharacterized. Lineage: Eukaryota; Metazoa; Cnidaria; Anthozoa; Malacalcyonacea; Xeniidae. The record is from RefSeq and is a predicted model, not a curated record. The transcript has 2 exons.